Molecule: ribosomal RNA, 248 nt
Filed under: Lactarius sp. (in: basidiomycete fungi)
Lineage: Eukaryota; Fungi; Basidiomycota; Agaricomycetes; Russulales; Russulaceae
Description: Lactarius sp. (in: Russulaceae) partial 28S ribosomal RNA
Rfam family: Eukaryotic large subunit ribosomal RNA
Source: RNAcentral
AAAGCUCAAAUUUAAAAUCUGGCGGUCAUUGGCCGUCCGAGUUGUAAUUUAGAGAAGCGUCUUCCGCGCCGGACCGUGCACAAGUCUCCUGGAAUGGAGCGUCAUAGAGGGUGAGAAUCCCGUCUUUGGCACGGACGCCUGGUGCUUCUGUGAUGCGCUCUCGAAGAGUCGAGUUGUUUGGGAAUGCAGCUCAAAAUGGGUGGUGAACUCCAUCUAAAGCUAAAUAUUGGCGAGAGACCGAUAGCGAA